UUAAAGUUUUAUUUUAGCUUAAAAUAUUAAUCUAUAAUUUUUUUAUAUAUAAAAUUUUUUAUUUAUAAAUUUUUAUUUUAAUAAUAAAAAUUUUUAAAAUUAUUUAUAAUUUAUAAAAUUUAUUUUUUUUUAAGGAAUUAAGAAUAAGAAAUUUAUUUUAGUAUUAACAAAAUUUGUGCCAGCAGUUGCGGUUAUACAAAUAAUAUGAUUAAUAUUUAUUAGUAGAUAAUUAAUUUUUAUUAGUAUUUAAAAAUAAUUAAAUUUAUUAAGUGAAAUUUUAAAUUUGAUUUUGAUAAAAAAUAAAAUUAUGAAGUUAUUAAAAUUUUGUAAUAAACUAGGAUUAGAUACCCUAUUAUAAAAGUUGUAAAAUUUAAAUAUUAGAUUAGUAUUAGUUAUUUUCUUGAAAAUUAAAAAAUUUGGCGGUAUUUUAGUCUUUUCAGAGGAACCUGUCCUAUAAUUGAUAAUCCACGAUUAAAUGUACUUAUUUUAUAGUUUAUAUAUCAUCGUAGUUUGAAUAUUUUUUUAGAAUAUAAAUAUUCAAAAUUUAUAAUAAUAAAAAAAAUCAGAUCAAGGUAUAGCUUAUAUUUAAGAAGAGAUGGGUUACAAUAAAUUUAUUUAAUGAAUUAAAAAUUGUAAAUUUUUAUGAAAUUGGAUUUGAAAGUAAUAUAAUUUAUUUUAAUUAUAUGAUUAAAGCUCUAAAAUAUGCACAUAUCGCCCGUCGCUUUCAUAUAAAAUGAGAUAAGUCGUAACAAAGUAGGUGUACUGGAAAGUGUAUCUAGAAAGC
This 784-nucleotide non-coding RNA is filed under the name Ochthebius sp. IBE<ESP> AN104. The record is from RNAcentral. Lineage: Eukaryota; Metazoa; Arthropoda; Insecta; Coleoptera; Hydraenidae.